This 253-nucleotide ribosomal RNA is filed under the name uncultured bacterium. RNAcentral's name for it is "partial 16S ribosomal RNA". It matches the Rfam family "Bacterial small subunit ribosomal RNA", at positions 524 to 776 of the family's 1533-position model. The record is from RNAcentral.
GACAUAGGUGGCGAACGUUAUCCGGAAUUACUGGGCGUAAAGCGUGCGCAGGCGGUUCGUUGUGUCGGCGGUGAAAGCCCCGGGCUUAACCUGGGAAUGGCCGUUGAAACUGGCGAACUGGAGUGUGGCAGAGGGGGGUGGAAUUCCGCGUGUAGCAGUGAAAUGCGUAGAGAUGCGGAGGAACACCGAUGGCGAAGGCAGCCCCCUGGGCUAACACUGACGCUCAGGCACGAAAGCGUGGGGAGCAAACAGG